This 468-nucleotide ribosomal RNA is filed under the name uncultured bacterium. RNAcentral's name for it is "partial 16S ribosomal RNA". It matches the Rfam family "Bacterial small subunit ribosomal RNA", at positions 28 to 507 of the family's 1533-position model. The record is from RNAcentral.
GACGAACGCUGGCGGCGUGCUUAACACAUGCAAGUCGAACGGAAAGGCCCUGCUUUUGUGGGGUGCUCGAGUGGCGAACGGGUGAGUAACACGUGAGUAACCUGCCCUUGACUUUGGGAUAACUUCAGGAAACUGGGGCUAAUACCGGAUAGGAGCUCCUGCUGCAUGGUGGGGGUUGGAAAGUUUCGGCGGUUGGGGAUGGACUCGCGGCUUAUCAGCUUGUUGGUGGGGUAGUGGCUUACCAAGGCUUUGACGGGUAGCCGGCCUGAGAGGGUGACCGGCCACAUUGGGACUGAGAUACGGCCCAGACUCCUACGGGAGGCAGCAGUGGGGAAUAUUGCACAAGGGGCGGAAGCGUGAUGCAGCAACGCCGCGUGCGGGAUGACGGCCUUCGGGUUGUAAACCGCUUUCGCCUGUGACGAAGCGUGAGUGACGGUAAUGGGUAAAGAAGCACCGGCUAAGUACGUG